GACGAACGCUGGCGGCGUGCUUAACACAUGCAAGUCGAGCGGUAAGGCCCUUUCGGGGGUACACGAGCGGCGAACGGGUGAGUAACACGUGGGUGACCUGCCCUCAGCUCUGGGAUAAGCCCGGGAAACUGGGUCUAAUACCGGAUAUGACUCCAUGACGCAUGUUGUGGGGUGGAAAGCCUUGUGCGGCUGAGGAUGGGCCCGCGGCCUAUCAGCUUGUUGGGUGGGGUGAUGGCCACCAAGGCGACGACGGGUAGCCGGCCUGAGAGGGCGACCGGCCACACUGGGACUGAGAUACGGCCCACGACUCCUACGGGAGGGCAGCAGGUGGGGAAUCUUGCGCAAUGGGCGAAAGCCUGACGCAGCGACGCCGCGUGAGGGA
RNAcentral lists this ribosomal RNA (382 nucleotides) under uncultured bacterium. RNAcentral describes it as "bacterial SSU rRNA". It matches the Rfam family "Bacterial small subunit ribosomal RNA", at positions 28 to 408 of the family's 1533-position model. The record is from RNAcentral.